UUAACUCAAAUUUGUAUGGAGUUGGAACGUUUGCCUACGUUUGCCGUUAGGGGCGCUAUUCCAACUGCAUGCAAAUUUGAGUUA
This is a non-coding RNA of Bombyx mori (domestic silkworm), 84 nucleotides long. The record is from Rfam. Lineage: Eukaryota; Metazoa; Arthropoda; Insecta; Lepidoptera; Bombycidae.